RNAcentral lists this ribosomal RNA (468 nucleotides) under uncultured bacterium. RNAcentral's name for it is "partial 16S ribosomal RNA". It matches the Rfam family "Bacterial small subunit ribosomal RNA", at positions 28 to 507 of the family's 1533-position model. The record is from RNAcentral.
GAUGAACGCUGGCGGCGUGCUUAACACAUGCAAGUCGAACGGAAAGGCCCUGCUUUUGUGGGGUUCUCGAGGGGCGAACGGGUGAGUAACACGUGAGUAACCUGCCCUUGACUUUGGGAUAACUUCAGGAAACUGGGGCUACUACCGGAUAGGAGCUCCUGCUGCAUGGUGGGGGUUGGAAAGUUUCGGCGGUUGGGGAUGGACUCGCGGCUUAUCAGCUUGUUGGUGGGGUAGUGGCUUACCAAGGCUUUGACGGGUAGCCGGCCUGAGAGGGUGACCGGCCACAUUGGGACUGAGAUAGGCCCCAGACUCCUACGGGGGGCAGCAGUGGGGAAUAUUGCACAAUGGGCGGAAGCCUGAUGCAGCAACGCCGCGUGCGGGAUGACGGCCUUCGGGUUGUAAACCGCCUUAGCCUGUGACGAAGCGGGAGUGACGGUAAUGGGUAAAGAAGCACCGGCUAACUACGUG